CAAAAACUGGAUUGGCUGUGACUUUUGAAAGAAGGGGUGCACAUUAGACAUGCUCCAUAUUUAUCCAGCUUUUCCCCUAAGGGAAAUAUUUUCCAAUUCUGGGAAUAGAGCCUAAGCAGAAAGUUAACAGUCAUACUGAAUUUAGGAGACAGAGUUCAGGAUUCAUGGCUCCAAUAAGUGACUGGAAAUUAAUCCUGGACAGGAAGGAACCACAAAGCAUGAACCUCCAAUUCUACACACCAAUGAUCCUGAAAUCGUUGGUGUAUAGCUCAACGGCUGUGUAGACUGGCCCUCCAAGAAAUCUAGUGGGAAGCAGCAGAGGCAGACUGAAUUACUAAUGGAUUUCAGCAGCUACGCUAUCCUUGCAAAGUCUGAUGAGUCAGAGGGGUUUGGAAACACCUCUAUUUGUGAAUUAGUGGACUCACAGACAAGUCAUCAGAAAAUAUUCAAACUAAAGCACAAAAAGAGAAGAAAGAAAAGAUGGAACAGAGCACAAGAAAUACAUGCGAUGUAGUCAACUGGUUUACCAUAUAUAUAACAGCAAUUCCCAGAAUCCAAGGAGAGACUGAAUGGGGCAGAAACAGUACUUGGACGAAGACAGAGAAUUCUCCCAACCCGACUCAAGUAUUAGGCUAUGGAUUCAAGACCCUCAAUGAAGCCAAAGCAGCACAAACACCAUUAAAACACAUCUAAGUCAUGACAGACAUUUGAAUUAAGUUCUUUAUUUUAUUACUAUGAAAGCAACUGUGAACUUUCUCUUACACACGUAUUUCUACACAGCUCCCACUUUACAAAGCACUAGUAUGUACAGUCGAGGAGGAAGACCUUCCUCUGCCCUGUGGUCCUUCUAUCUGGACUUAGGAUCAAACCAACAUGAAGCAGCUGUAGCAUGAAAAUAAAUUGUCUUGAUGGAAAAACAAAGCCUAUCAAACUUCAUGUUUUGCAUAUCGGAAACAAAAGGCAUAAUAGUUCCGGUUUGGCAAGAAUCUAUAAUGACCCACAUGGCACUCAAGAAAUACUCAGGAGAAAAAAUUUCCAUCUGAGGGAGGAAGAAGCCUUGGAAAUCACUAAAUUCUACCCCCUUGGGGCAUGGACAUACACUUGUCUUCUAAAAAAUAAAUCAAUAACACCCAGAGGAAGAAAAGUUUUAUUUUUUUAAAAAGCACUCAAAAAUUUAAUAUGUCUGACUGUGAAAGGAGAGUUCUGGAAGUUACUUAUAUGCCUUCUUUUUAAAAACUUUUAGAUUAAAAAAAUGAACUUUUAAUCCAAUCACUUGUUCUUAAAUUUGUGAAUACUAUUUUGAUACACUCUUUACUCCAGUCAUCACUCUCAGAAACCCUGAGAUAAGUCAAGAUUACCAAAAGGACACUUUAUUUCCAGAAGUAACCCCAGA
Molecule: long non-coding RNA, 1393 nt
Filed under: Ursus maritimus (polar bear)
Lineage: Eukaryota; Metazoa; Chordata; Mammalia; Carnivora; Ursidae
Description: lncRNA (ENSUMAG00000001145.1)
Source: RNAcentral